Molecule: long non-coding RNA, 1853 nt
Filed under: Mytilus galloprovincialis (Mediterranean mussel)
Lineage: Eukaryota; Metazoa; Mollusca; Bivalvia; Mytilida; Mytilidae
Source: RNAcentral
GUUUUUAUUUAAACAUAUUCAAAAUAAAGAACAGAUAUCAUUCAAAUCACAAUGUUUGUUGGAUAAGAAACAAUGAACUGUAUAAACAUUAUUUUUUUUUUAAAUAAAUACUCUUUUUUGUGAUUGAAUGCUUCAAGGGAUUGCUUUGUGUUCCUUUCAACAAUGCCCUUAUAUAUAUUCUAUAAGAGCCAUGUGCGUUGACAAAUCUUGUCAAAGUACUUAUAAGAAGAUUAUUAGUGCAUAUUUCCUUUAGCCUUUUAGUGAUCUCCAGAUGUCUGUCUACAAGUAGAAUUGCCAACCUAUUUGUUAUUGUAUCAUAUAUAAGUCCUAAUUGGUUGCUUAUGACUGCUUAAUGUUCCGUAGCAAAUAUUACAUGCUUAUUCAGGAUGAUAGAAGUUCGGAUAGAAGAAGGGAAAUUUUUUGAGGCAUUAACAUUUUUUUCAAGGGGGAGGUUUUGGGGGAGGGUUAUUGAAGGCUAUGUAAGCUAGUCAAAGGAACAUUCAUCUAUUGUCUCCAGAAUCCAUGUGAGAAAAAUACAAAGAAAACUUUAGAUAGAUAAUGACAAUAGAUGAAGUCAACAGGUCACACUUAUGGCCCAAAUAAGCUUAAAUAAAAUAAUAUUAGAUAUAAAUCACUUUAUUGAUAAAUACUCUAUAAAAUCAAAUAUGUUCUCAAAACACAAAAAAUAAAUCGGACACUGUUCUCUAAUAUGCAUUGACAAAAUAUAACAAGUCAUCUAAUCAGACAAAAUUAUUAACCAACAAAUUAUACAGACAACAAUCAUAUAAAGAUAAACAUCAUAUUUCAAGGACUGAUUUAACAUGUUUAAUGCGUUUUUUAAAGUAGUACUCAAAUUAUGAUUAGAAAAAGGUAUCAUAUUCUAUAUUCCCAUCAAAUCAAAUAAUGUAGUCAACUACCAAUAAAGUGUUGAACGUUUGAGAAAAUAACAAUUAACUAUGCUUAUCAGGAUAAUUGAAAAAUAUUUUUAUCUGGCAGAGUUAAGCAUAAUGUUUUGUUUUAGAUACUUAAAACAUUACUUUAUCAUGUGCAGACAAUGUAAUGUCCCAUUGACCUAAUUUUGUAGUUUUCAAAAGAACCUUUUUGACUCAAAAUGAGAAUGCCCUUAUGAGAGGUGUUCUUUGAAUUUAAAUUCUGAGGGAGAAAUUGAUUUUACAUAGAAUCAUAACUAAACAAUGUCAACAUAAUUAUAGAUUAUCGUUGGUUAUCUCAACGAGAUUGAUUUUCUCGCUUGAGCCUGUGACGGCGAAAGCGAGAAAAGCAAUCGAGUUGAGAUGACCAAUGAUAAUCUGUUUAUCGCUAUUUUACCUAUGACGACGUUGUCAAUUUCAUGUCAAUUUCAUUAGUAACGCCACGAGGCUCCUUAGUUUCUAGCGAUAAUUUUCCAUCUCAAGCGAGUAGCAUGAUAUGAAAAAUUAUCACAAAAAAAGAUCUAAGGAAAAAUGCACAAAAUAGCGAUAAUAAAUAAUAAUAAAAAAAUAUGUUACUAGCUAUAGGUUACUUUGAAUUUGUUUUUGUCAUAUUCAAUCAAAUUAAGAGAUGCUGCAUAAAAACAUACAUAGUAUGGGAAUGCCUAUAUUUUGUAAAUCAUGUGAAAAAAAAUCUUGAGUAUAGAUUGUUGAUUAUUCUAAUAUGAUGUGCUUCUUUAGCUUUGUAAACAAUACUGUGAUAAAAUUCUCGAUAAAAUAUACUUAGCGCAGACUCAGAGAUAUGCCUAAUAAUGGCUGUUACAAUAUCCUUCCCACGUUAAUCUACAUGUAUUGAUUUGCAGAUUCUUUGCCGAUUUUAUUGUUUUAAAAAGUGCAAUUAAAAAAGACAAAAUAACUUUUAUUCUU